CUGGUCUCGAACUCCUGACCUUAGGUUAUCUGCCCACCUUGGCCUCCCAAAGUGCUAAGUGUAAUCCCAAAGUGUAAUCCCAAAGUGCUGGGAUUGCAGGCAUGUGCUAUGGUCCCUGGCCCUGCCAUGCCUGCUUAUCUGUACAUGUCUAAAGUCUUCCCAUCAUUCAAGACCUCGACUGCCUCCUCCAGGAAGUCUUCCUUGAGUCCCUCCAUCUGGAUGCUCCUCAGCCUUGGUUCCUGCUGCUGCCCUCCACCGUGAGCAGCAGGAAAAUCUACCCUGGAGGUCAACUUGACAUGACAAAGUUGCUCUGUAAGCAACUCCCAGGGUACAUGCUCAGACUCAGCGGCCUGUGCAGGGAUGGGCCAGCCUGAGGCAGAUGAGCUGCAGCCCCGCAGGGUCCCUUCUUCAGCAAGGAGGAUAGGGUGACAGCUGGGUCGUCUCUGCAGGACCGAAUGUGCCCUGCUGCAGAUCAUGAGAACUGAUUGAACUAGGUUCUGAGGGUGAGGAUCAAGAGCCAGCCCAUGAACCUCUGACUCGGUGAGUGAAGCUUCCGGCAGAACAUCCGGCCUGGCAUCCGAGGCGGCACUUAUCUGAAGCCUCUUAUAUGAGGAGGAUCUCAAAAGAAGCAGGGAGAGAGCCUUGGGAGAGGAACCUGGUGCCAGCCCUGGAUACAGAGAUGGAGUCGUGACGGUGUCGGGCCAGCCUGAGAAAUAGCAGGAGACCUGACAUGGCCUAGGGUGGGGCUCUAGGUGCUUGAUGAAAGUGAGAUGGAAGGAGUGCACCGUGGUGACUGCGGAGUCCUCAAAGCCACUGCGACCCUCACCUUUACCUCCUGUCAGCUGGUGAGCUUGGUGGAGUCUCUGUCGCCCAGGCUGGAGUGCAGUGGCGAGAUCUCGG
Molecule: long non-coding RNA, 900 nt
Filed under: Homo sapiens (human)
Lineage: Eukaryota; Metazoa; Chordata; Mammalia; Primates; Hominidae
Description: HSALNT0384274
Source: RNAcentral